Molecule: long non-coding RNA, 3258 nt
Organism: Asparagus officinalis (garden asparagus)
Lineage: Eukaryota; Viridiplantae; Streptophyta; Magnoliopsida; Asparagales; Asparagaceae
Exons: 3
Source: RefSeq, a predicted model, not a curated record
GGGGAGUUAUUUAUAUUUGCCUGAUGAAGAGGAAAGGAAAAAAAAAAUGAUCUGUAUCUUCAUUAUGCAUCUUGAGAAAUAAUCACUCACUUCUUGCUAAAUUUCAUUACUAUUUUUGUUUAGACUUAAUACUGAUUGUUCAAUAUUGCAUGUAGGAAGUCAGAGAAGAGUCCCAAUUUUCACUUUCAUGUCAUGCUUAUCCUCCAACUUUCCAUGCAUUGUAAGAUAGUAUGUUUUAACUAUUAAUCAUUUGUGCAUUGAUUUACAAACAUAAAUGCAGCAAAUAGCAAUUGGUUUAACUGACUGUGCUUAUUAAUUUUAAACGACGAGCUCUGCAUCUGGAUAAACAUAGUAGUUGAAUUCGUUGAUGAAAGGUGGUAUGAAUGUUAGUUACUUGCAAGUAAUGGAUUUUGCUUUAGGUACAUGAGUAAUAAAGCAUAAAAACAGUUGGGACCUCUUAACUUCCAAUCAAUACUGCUGAAUUUGCAAAACUGUGUGAUACUAAUUUGCAGAUGUUGACCUAGCGAAGCCCAGUCCUGAUUGAACUUCAGGGAAGCAAUAGAGUGUCUAGGAAGAGCCAUAGAUCUACUCCAUAGAUUGACUCUUAUGCUUAUUUUCUCAAAAACAUCAUCUACUUCUUUAUUAUUAAUUUAGUGUUGCCGGCUACCAGUGUGGAUAGGAGUGAUCAACUUUGCCAUUUUCUGUACGUUAGAGUUUGCGAAAGGAGUACUUGGGUCUUAUAUGUAAAUUUCAGUCAAGGUUUUUCUUUAAAUUUCAAUGUUUUAGAUUAAUACACAUGCAAAAAGUGAAUGAGGUCGUAAUCGUAUACCCUUUUUUUUUUCCUUCUUUAACAUAUUUUGUUCAUGUACAAAACCAAUGAAGAUCAUUUUUCUUCAUCAUUAAUGUGCUAAAUCAUUGUGCACCAGAUCAUCAUAUUCUUAGUAGUAUGACCUGUACAUAAGCAUGGAACUGUGAGCUUGCAGGAAGAUUUAUGAAAUUGCAGUAUGCUUACUUGUAUACGUUGAUGCAAGGCAGAAAAUAAACACUCCUCUGAAUGGAACCAAAAACAAUGUGAUAAAGCAUAAUGCUUAUCCGCAUGACUCGGAAGUAUGAUGACAAUUGAUGUCUACCAUCUGCUGUAAUAUGGAAACCAUGACUUAAUUAUGUACUUUUGGUGUGUUUCGAGGACAACACUUCCCAUGUGUCUGUCAUUCAUGAAUUUGCGUUAGUUCGCACUAACAUCUCAACUCAGAUUAGCAAACUAGCCAGUCUUACUCUUAUGCUAUAAACAUACUGUUCCAAGUGUCCGACUUUGAUAUUUGAUUUGGAAGCCUCAUCCAAAGAGAGAAGUUUUGAAAUAUGGCUUCUUUAUUUGAGUUCAUUUCCUUCAAUCCAAAUGUUUGAAACAAACUUAGGAAAAAUGUGAAAAGAAGUAUUGAAGGCCAUAUGCUAUAUAAAAUACUAAAUGAUACUAUUUUAAACCUCAUCUUGCAUAUUCAGUAUAGUCCAUUGCCUUCAAUAUGCAAAGAAGUCCUAAUAAUGUGGAAGUUUAGAAACCUAAUAUUGUGUGAUAAUUCAAGAUAAGUUAAAAUACAAGUUAUUGCACUUGUGAAAGAUUUGAAUUCAUAAUUUGAGUUUGUUUAGGCAAAGCUAAAAUUGAAGAAGUGUUUUUAUCCAUGUGGGUAAAAGUAAAUUGUAGCAUUAUUUCAUGGAAGAUGUGAAGGACUAACAAUCUAUUGAGUUGGUCUUGCAUGUUGCAGCAGUGGUACCAUAGUGAAGCAAUUGAAAGAGAUCAAUCAUGACUAACACCCUCGACACCAAAUAUGUUACUGCUGAAAGAUAUUACAUGAAAGAGUGGGCUAUAUACUAUUCGGCUUCCAUAUCAUAAUUUCUAAUUACAUCGGGUAGGACGACUGUGAAUGCCUUGAUCAUGAUUCUCCUUCAGAUUAUAUAGUGAAUAACUGCAAUGGGGAAUUGCGGAGUUAUUACUCCCAAAACUAGGGGCUAGCAUGCUACAGGAUUAAGAUUGUAAUUUUGCUUACGUUCCUUGUAUACGAAAGAAGAAAGUAGCUUAAUCAGCAGGUGUUUGGCGGCCUACCCUCCAGUGUUCAACGAUGGUUAGCCGAGAAAGCGUGCAUUUUUGCAAUGCUAUAGGCCCUUGAACAACUCUGGUUUGUUUCUUCCGUAAUAAUGAAAGGAGGAGAGAUUUACAGAGCAGCAAACCGGGAGCUUCUAUGAGAAAGAUUGCAGCUUUCAGUAUGUUGAUAAUGGAUGUAGAAGAUGCUGCUUUGUAGAGGAAAAUGCAGAGGCAAGGAAGCUAUUUUUACGGCCAAGGACAAGCAACGGCUAAGAGUGAAGAGAGAUUUGGUCAAAGAUCUAAAAAAUAAAAGGUGCAAAACUGAGCUCGGGGGUCAUUCCUGCGAGUCACCGAAACAUGAAUCCCUACAAGUUCUCCUCAGUCUAUCUGGCUGCCUCCGUUAUCACUUCCAUCUGUUUUAGUAAAAGAUACAGUAAUUGGUAUCCUCAUGGAUUAGCAAUUCCUGUAUCCCCAUCUCCUAUGAAAGAAACAAUGGGAAAGAAAAUCCUCAACAAGGUGUGCAGGUUGUUGUGCAUUCAGGCUGGGGUUAUUUCAUCUCAAUCAUUCAAAAAUAAAACAGGUACAAGCAAAUUGAUGUCAGUUUCACGUAAGAUCUUGGAAACUUUGAGGAAAACUGGUAGGGGCAUUCCACUUUAAAACACUGUGCCUAUCGUUAACUGCAGUAUUAUUCGGUACGUUAUCCCAGCUCUGUAAAAUAACCAAACUCGCUUAUCCAUUAUUAUGUGCAUCUCUGUUUCCUUUCUUUUAUACGUAUACACAUACAGGCACGCAUGCAUGCCUGUGUGAAAUUGAGAUUUAAACUCAUUUCAGUAGACACUCCCUCAGAGUUCGUAGUUCAACGAACACCAUGAGUUUCUGAUACUUGUCCAGAGAAACUUAUACUAAUUGAAGCAUAUCCUCAGAAUACAAUGAUCCUUCAUUGGAAAGUGAAAGCUCACCAGUCACCUGACCUCUUAUCUUCAAUGACUGCUACUGUUAGAUGCGCGAUGUCAUCUAAUGAGUUACUUAAUAUCUUUGGUUAUAGUUAAAAUUUAUGUUGAUUUAUUCGUUUACUUCCACUUAUUUUCAAAAUAUGAAAACAUGUUAAAUUCCUAAAGGGAAAGUGACUAUAUAGCUAGUUUGAUGCUGUGCAAUAUUUAUAGUUUUUAGAAAGUUAUGUA